UACAGAGGUCUCAAGCGUUGUUCGGAUUCAUUGGGCGUAAAGGGUGCGUAGGUGGCGCGGUAAGUCGGGUGUGAAAUCUCGGAGCUUAACUCCGAAAUUGCAUUCGAUACUGCCGUGCUUGAGGACUGGAGAGGAGACUGGAAUUCAUGGUGUAGCAGUGAAAUGCGUAGAUAUCGUAAGGAAGACCAGUGGCGAAGGCGGGUCUCUGGACAGUUCCUGACGCUGAGGCACGAAGGUCAGGGGAGCAAACGGG
Molecule: ribosomal RNA, 253 nt
Filed under: uncultured bacterium
Lineage: Bacteria
Description: partial 16S ribosomal RNA
Rfam family: Bacterial small subunit ribosomal RNA
Source: RNAcentral